GACGAACGCUGGCGGCGUGCUUAACACAUGCAAGUCGAACGGAAAGGCCCUUCGGGGUACUCGAGUGGCGAACGGGUGAGUAACACGUGGGUGAUCUGCCCUGCACUUUGGGAUAAGCCUGGGAAACUGGGUCUAAUACCGAAUAGGACCACGCGCUUCAUGGUGUGUGGUGGAAAGCUUUUGCGGUGUGGGAUGGGCCCGCGGCCUAUCAGCUUGUUGGUGGGGUAAUGGCCUACCAAGGCGACGACGGGUAGCCGGCCUGAGAGGGUGACCGGCCACACUGGGACUGAGAUACGGCCCAGACUCCUACGGGAGGCAGCAGUGGGGAAUAUUGCACAAUGGGCGCAAGCCUGAUGCAGCGACGCCGCGUGAGGGAUGACGGCCUUCGGGUUGUAAACCUCUUUCAAUAGGGACGAAGCGCAAGUGACGGUACCUAUAGAAGAAGCACCGGCCAACUACGUGCCAGCAGCCGCGGUAAUACGUAGGGUGCGAGCGUUGUCCGGAAUUACUGGGCGUAAAGAGCUCGUAGGUGGUUUGUCGCGUUGUUCGUGAAAACUCACAGCUUAACUGUGGGCGUGCGGGCGAUACGGGCAGACUAGAGUACUGCAGGGGAGACUGGAAUUCCUGGUGUAGCGGUGGAAUGCGCAGAUAUCAGGAGGAACACCGGUGGCGAAGGCGGGUCUCUGGGCAGUAACUGACGCUGAGGAGCGAAAGCGUGGGGAGCGAACAGGAUUAGAUACCCUGGUAGUCCACGCCGUAAACGGUGGGUACUAGGUGUGGGUUCCUUCCUUGGGAUCCGUGCCGUAGCUAACGCAUUAAGUACCCCGCCUGGGGAGUACGGCCGCAAGGCUAAAACUCAAAGGAAUUGACGGGGGCCCGCACAAGCGGCGGAGCAUGUGGAUUAAUUCGAUGCAACGCGAAGAACCUUACCUGGGUUUGACAUGCACAGGACGCCGGCAGAGAUGUCGGUUCCCUUGUGGCCUGUGUGCAGGUGGUGCAUGGCUGUCGUCAGCUCGUGUCGUGAGAUGUUGGGUUAAGUCCCGCAACGAGCGCAACCCUUGUCCUAUGUUGCCAGCGGGUUAUGCCGGGGACUCGUAGGAGACUGCCGGGGUCAACUCGGAGGAAGGUGGGGAUGACGUCAAGUCAUCAUGCCCCUUAUGUCCAGGGCUUCACACAUGCUACAAUGGCCGGUACAAAGGGCUGCGAUGCCGUGAGGUGGAGCGAAUCCUUUCAAAGCCGGUCUCAGUUCGGAUCGGGGUCUGCAACUCGACCCCGUGAAGUCGGAGUCGCUAGUAAUCGCAGAUCAGCAACGCUGCGGUGAAUACGUUCCCGGGCCUUGUACACACCGCCCGUCACGUCAUGAAAGUCGGUAACACCCGAAGCCGGUGGCCUAACCCUUGUGGAGGGAGCCGUCGAAGGUGGGAUCGGCGAUUGGGACGAAGUCGUAACAAGGUA
This 1455-nucleotide ribosomal RNA is filed under the name Mycolicibacterium mucogenicum. RNAcentral describes it as "16S ribosomal RNA". It matches the Rfam family "Bacterial small subunit ribosomal RNA". Lineage: Bacteria; Bacillati; Actinomycetota; Actinomycetes; Mycobacteriales; Mycobacteriaceae. The record is from RNAcentral.